AAUUAUUGGAAGCAACAUGGAAGGACUUGGCUCGGGCUGAUCGGGUUCCACCAGUGCCACUAGUCAAAGAAAUGUUCCGCAUGCAGCUGGAAAGAGGGAACAUUGCUGCUGCCCUGACUUGUGUUACUGAUUAUCCUCCUGCUGAGUCUCAGGCAUUUUCUGCCAAGUUUUGGAUGAAGUUUUUUGAGGAAAAUUCUGAUCAAUUAUCAGACGGUACGCUUUUCAGAUUGCUACAAGAGGUGAGCCGGAUUGUUGCCAGAAAUGACAGCAAAAUACUCAACAAUCUAAUGGCUUCUUGUAAAGAAUUUUUGAGAACUCAAUCGACAAAAGUAGAUAGAGUUCAUAGUGAAACAGCUCUAGUUUGUUAA
Molecule: unclassified non-coding RNA, 368 nt
Filed under: Hevea brasiliensis (rubber tree)
Lineage: Eukaryota; Viridiplantae; Streptophyta; Magnoliopsida; Malpighiales; Euphorbiaceae
Source: RNAcentral